Molecule: microRNA precursor, 78 nt
Filed under: Schistosoma haematobium
Lineage: Eukaryota; Metazoa; Platyhelminthes; Trematoda; Strigeidida; Schistosomatidae
Description: mir-3492 microRNA precursor family
Rfam family: mir-3492 microRNA precursor family
Source: Rfam by way of RNAcentral
AGCCUUCUCUGUCCGUGCUGAGAUUUCGCCACACACCAGAAUACAAGAGUUGAUGAGAUUCCCAAGAUAAGUGAAGCG